GAUGAACGCUAGCUACAGGCUUAACACAUGCAAGUCGAGGGGCAGCGCAGUGUAGCAAUACAUGGGCGGCGACCGGCGCACGGGUGCGUAACGCGUAUCCAACCUUCCCGUUACUCAGGGAUAGCCUUCCGAAAGGGAGAUUAAUACCUGAUGGUGUUCAAAUUCCGCAUGUUAUUUGAACUAAAGAUUUACCGGUAACGGAUGGGGAUGCGUGACAUUAGGUAGAUGGCGGGGUAACGGCCCACCAUGCCUACGAUGUCUAGGGGUUCUGAGAGGAAGGUCCCCCACACUGGAACUGAGACACGGUCCAGACUCCUACGGGAGGCAGCAGUGGGGAAUGUUGGUCAAUGGUCUGACGACUGAACCAGCCAUGCCGCGUGAAGGUCACGGCCCUAUGGGUCUUAAACUUCUUUUGUAAGGGAGCAAUAAGUCUCACGUGUGGGAUGAUGAGAGUACCUUACGAAUAAGCAUCGGCUAACUCCGUG
This 485-nucleotide ribosomal RNA is filed under the name uncultured bacterium. RNAcentral's name for it is "bacterial SSU rRNA". It matches the Rfam family "Bacterial small subunit ribosomal RNA", at positions 28 to 507 of the family's 1533-position model. The record is from RNAcentral.